RNAcentral lists this ribosomal RNA (749 nucleotides) under uncultured bacterium. Its description in RNAcentral is "bacterial SSU rRNA". It matches the Rfam family "Bacterial small subunit ribosomal RNA", at positions 66 to 827 of the family's 1533-position model. The record is from RNAcentral.
CGAUUAAAGCUCCCUUCGGGGAGUGCAUAAAGUGGCGCACGGGUGAGUAACACGUAAGUAAUCUGCCCUCGAGUGGGGAACAACGUCCGGAAACGGACGCUAAUACCGCAUAAUGCAGCGGCACCUAAUGGUGACAGUUGUUAAAGGAGAAAUCCGCUUGAGGAGGAGCUUGCGGCAGAUUAGCUAGUUGGUAAGGUAAUGGCUUACCAAGGCUACGAUCUGUAACCGGUCUAAGAGGACGGUCGGUCACACUGACACUGAAUAACGGGUCAGACUCCUACGGGAGGCAGCAGUCGGGAAUUUUGGGCAAUGGGCGAAAGCCUGACCCAGCAACGCCGCGUGAAGGAUGAAGUAUUUCGGUAUGUAAACUUCGAAAGAAUGGGAAGAAUCAAUGACGGUACCAUUUAUAAGGUCCGGCUAACUACGUGCCAGCAGCCGCGGUAAUACGUAGGGACCAAGCGUUGUUCGGAUUUACUGGGCGUAAAGGGCGCGUAGGCGGCAAUUCAAGUCAUCUGUGAAAUCUCCGGGCUUAACUCGGAACGGUCAGAUGAUACUGCUUUGCUAGAGUGCGGAAGGGGCAAUCGGAAUUCUUGGUGUAGCGGUGAAAUGCGUAGAUAUCAAGAGGAACACCUGAGGUGAAGACGGGUUGCUGGGCCGACACUGACGCUGAUAGCGCGAAAGCCAGGGGAGCAAACGGGAUUAGAUACCCCGGUAGUCCUGGCCCUAAACGAUGAAUACUUGGUGUCUGG